GGAACUGUGACUAGUUAAAAGUAACAAAGCUCAGCUUCAAACAGACAAACAUUUUCAUUAAUAUAUCAGUAUUGUCUGAAAAAGAUUAUAGAAAAAUAUUCUUUCUUUAAUCACUCUUGUUGUUAGUUCUCAGGCCAGGCUUAUUCCUUCAGUCUUUAUACAAUGGAUGAUUACAAAUCUUUUAAAAUUAAUUUAGAGUGCUUGUUAAAGUUCUCUCUGCCAUGUUUUGAAUUAUUUUUUAGAGCCAGAAAUGUCCAAAAGGAAAGCAAGAAAAAAGCCUGCUGAUGAAGCAACCUUUUACAUUCAAUCCUCAAAGGACAAACCUGGACUAGUGGAAAGAUUUAUUGAUGAUCAAAAAGGAAGAGGCAUGUUUGCUACCCAGCCCUUUGAACAAGGAGAUUUCAUCUUAGAAUACAGGGGUCAACUUCUGUCAGCAGAAAAAUGCCAAACAAGCAAGUACUCUGAAAAGGAGAGUACAUUUCUCUUUGACUUUGAAUGGCAGAAUCAUUACUGGUGUAUUGAUGCAUCAACAGAGGAUGGCUCUCUUGGAAGAUUAGUGAAUGACAACCACAAGUCUCCAAACUGCACCAU
Molecule: long non-coding RNA, 591 nt
Organism: Syngnathus acus (greater pipefish)
Lineage: Eukaryota; Metazoa; Chordata; Actinopteri; Syngnathiformes; Syngnathidae
Exons: 3
Source: RefSeq, a predicted model, not a curated record